AUGCUGAAUAUUAUGUUCAUUGACUGCACUAGGAAUGGCGAGCAUGGGACUGCAGAAGAACAGGGGACAGGGCCAGCAUUACCAGGUCCUGUGGAUGCACCCGAGGAUGCUUCCAAGGAGAAUGUUAGCCCCACUAAGGAAUCUGAUGAGGCUGAAGACAAUGGGGAGGUACCACUGAAGUUCAGAAACUACCUUCCUCAUGAUGAGCGACUUCGAGGCGGUAAGGUGGCUCCUCUGUCUCUUCCCAAGUUUGAAGAUCCAAUCGCUGCUGAUGCUGCUGAGCCAAAGCAGCUCGAGAACCCUUUUGGGAACAUUGCUCCAAAGAACCCAAACUGGGAUCUGAAACGGGACGUGCAGAAGAGGAUCGACAAGCUGGAGAAGCGCACGCAGAAAGCUCUGGCUGAGAUCGCAUUGGAGCAGCAAAAGGAGAAAGAGGCGCUGGAAGAAGGAAGCGAUGCAGCUCAGGAGUGA
This 471-nucleotide ribosomal RNA is filed under the name Triticum aestivum (bread wheat). RNAcentral's name for it is "partial small subunit ribosomal RNA". The record is from RNAcentral. Lineage: Eukaryota; Viridiplantae; Streptophyta; Magnoliopsida; Poales; Poaceae.